Molecule: ribosomal RNA, 404 nt
Filed under: uncultured bacterium
Lineage: Bacteria
Also listed under: 1 other name
Description: bacterial SSU rRNA
Rfam family: Bacterial small subunit ribosomal RNA
Source: RNAcentral
UGGGGAAUAUUGCACAAUGGGCGGAAGCCUGAUGCAGCGACGCCGUGUGCGGGAUGACGGCCUUCGGGUUGUAAACCGCUUUCAACUGUGACGAAUUUGACGGUAGCAGUAGAAGAAGCACCGGCUAACUACGUGCCAGCAGCCGCGGUGAUACGUAGGGUGCGAGCGUUGUCCGGAUUUAUUGGGCGUAAAGGGCUCGUAGGCGGCCUAUUGCGUCGGGAGUGAAAACCUGCGGCUUAACCGUGGGCUUGCUUUCGAUACGGGUAGACUUGAGGGAGGUAGGGGAGAACGGAAUUCCUGGUGGAGCGGUGGAAUGCGCAGAUAUCAGGAGGAACACCAGUGGCGAAGGCGGUUCUCUGGACCUUUCCUGACGCUGAGGAGCGAAAGCGUGGGGAGCAAACAGG